This 1792-nucleotide ribosomal RNA is filed under the name human oral metagenome. RNAcentral's name for it is "bacterial LSU rRNA". It matches the Rfam family "Bacterial large subunit ribosomal RNA", at positions 1133 to 2925 of the family's 2925-position model. The record is from RNAcentral.
CGUAAUAGCUCACUGAUCGAGUCGUCCUGCGCGGAAGAUGUAACGGGGCUAAGCCAUGCACCGAAGCUUAGGCUGCACUCUCUGAGUGCGGGGUAGGGGAGCGUUCUGUAAGCCUGUGAAGGUGUCUCGUAAGGGAUGCUGGAGGUAUCAGAAGUGCGAAUGCUGACAUGAGUAGCGUUAAAGCGGGUGAAAAGCCCGCUCGCCGUAAGCGCAAGGUUUCCUACGCAACGUUCAUCGGCGUAGGGUGAGUCGGCCCCUAAGGUGAGGGCGAAAGCCAUAGCUGAUGGGAAGCUGGUUAAUAUUCCAGCACCGAUUUCUAGUGCGAUGGGGGGACGGAUCGUGGAAGGUUGUCCGGGUGUUGGAAGUCCCGGUUCCUGACCUGUAGGUGUCUGGUAGGUAAAUCCGCCAGGCAUAUGCCGAGGGGUUGGGACGAGCGAGCUUGCUCGCGAAGCAACUGGAAGUGGUUCCAAGAAAAGCCUCUAAGCUUCAGCUAGAAACGACCGUACCGCAAACCAACACUGGUGCGCGAGAUGAGUAUUCUCAGGCGCUUGAGAGAACUCGGGAGAAGGAACUCGGCAAAUUGACACCGUAACUUCGGAAGAAGGUGUGCCUUGGUAGCUUGAGUGUGAACAACACAAGGGCGAAGAGGUUGCAAAGAAUAGGUGGCUGCGACUGUUUAUUAAAAACACAGCACUCUGCAAACACGAAAGUGGACGUAUAGGGUGUGACGCCUGCCCGGUGCCGGAAGGUUAAGUGAUGGGGUGCAAGCUCUUGAUCGAAGCCCCGGUAAACGGCGGCCGUAACUAUAACGGUCCUAAGGUAGCGAAAUUCCUUGUCGGGUAAGUUCCGACCUGCACGAAUGGCGUAACGAUGGCCACACUGUCUCCUCCCGAGACUCAGCGAAGUUGAAAUGUUUGUGAUGAUGCAAUCUCCCCGCAGCUAGACGGAAAGACCCCAUGAACCUUUACUGUAGCUUUGCAUUGGAUUGCGAACCGACUUGUGUAGGAUAGGUGGGAGGCUUUGAAGUCAGGACGCCAGUCUUGAUGGAGCCAUCCUUGAAAUACCACCCUGGUUUGUUCGCGGUUCUAACCUAGGCCCGUCAUCCGGGCCGGAGACAGUGCAUGGUGGGCAGUUUGACUGGGGCGGUCUCCUCCUAAAGAGUAACGGAGGAGUUCGAAGGUACGCUUGGUACGGUCGGACAUCGUGCCUAAAGUGCAAUGGCAAAAGCGUGCUUAACUGCGAGACUGACAAGUCGAGCAGGUGCGAAAGCAGGACAUAGUGAUCCGGUGGUUCUGUAUGGAAGGGCCAUCGCUCAACGGAUAAAAGGUACUCUGGGGAUAACAGGCUGAUACCGCCCAAGAGUUCAUAUCGACGGCGGUGUUUGGCACCUCGAUGUCGGCUCAUCUCAUCCUGGGGCUGUAGCCGGUCCCAAGGGUAUGGCUGUUCGCCAUUUAAAGAGGUACGUGAGCUGGGUUUAAAACGUCGUGAGACAGUUUGGUCCCUAUCUGCUGUGGGCGUUGGAGAUUUGACGGGGGCUGCUCCUAGUACGAGAGGACCGGAGUGGACACACCUCUGGUGUACCUGUUGUCACGCCAGUGGCAUCGCAGGGUAGCUAAGUGUGGAAGAGAUAACCGCUGAAAGCAUCUAAGCGGGAAACUUGCCUGAAGAUGAGAUCUCCCUGGGGACUCGAUCCCCCUGAAGGGUCGUCCAAGACCAGGACGUUGAUAGGCCGGGUGUGGAAGCGCAGUAAUGCGUGAAGCUAACCGGUACUAAUUGCCCGUGAGGCUUGACC